CAUAGGCCUGAACAAUUAGGGUUUUCCAAAUUAAUUAAUUGCAACGAUAGGCAGAGUGUUACAUCUCCCCCACCUUUAAAACAUUUGGUCCACAAAUUUGUCUCAAACAGGUCCGGAUACUUCUCCCUCAUCUUGCUCUCCAACUCCCACGUGGCUUCCUCUAAGGUAUGAUGCUACCAUCAUACCUUCACCAUGGAAAUCAUCUUAUUAUGCAAGAUCUUAUUGGUCCACCCAAGAAUCUCCAUGGGAACCUCCUCAUAAGUCAUGUCGGCUUGUACCUGUACCUCAUCGCGAGAAAAAAUAUGAGAAAGAUCUGGGUGGUACCUCUUAAGCAUCGAGAAAUGAAAGACGUCAUAUAGACCCAUAAACUCUCAGGAUAGAGUGAGGCGGUAUGCCACGGGUCCAAUGCACUCGAUGAUCCAAAAUGGUCCAUUAUAACGAGGGCUACACUUCUCUCUCUUUCCAAGCCACAUCUUUCUCUUAUAGGGGAAAACCUUGAGGAAUACCUAAUCUCCCACGACAAACUCCAAGAGUCAUCUACGAUUGUCGGCGUAACUCUUCUGACGGCUCUGGGCAAUAGCCAAUUUUUUGCAGAUGAUGGCGACCUUCUCAAU
Molecule: long non-coding RNA, 614 nt
Filed under: Carica papaya (papaya)
Lineage: Eukaryota; Viridiplantae; Streptophyta; Magnoliopsida; Brassicales; Caricaceae
Description: long non-coding RNA (CPAP_LNC008266)
Source: RNAcentral